UACGUAGGGUGCAGGCGUUAAUCGGAAUUACGGGGCGUAAAGCGUGCGCAGGCGGUUUGCUAAGACAGGUGUGAAAUCCCCGGGCUUAACCUGGGAACUGCGCUUGUAACUGGCAAGCUAGAGUGUGGCAGAGGGGGGUGGAAUUCCAGGUGUAGCAGUGAAAUGCGUAGAGAUCUGGAGGAACACCGAUGGCGAAGGCAGCCCCCUGGGCUAACACUGACGCUCAUGCACGAAAGCUAGGGGAGCAAACAGG
RNAcentral lists this ribosomal RNA (253 nucleotides) under uncultured bacterium. Its description in RNAcentral is "partial 16S ribosomal RNA". It matches the Rfam family "Bacterial small subunit ribosomal RNA", at positions 524 to 776 of the family's 1533-position model. The record is from RNAcentral.